UUCAUUGACAAUCAACCCAUAACUAGCUACCAAGACAAAAGAGAAAAGAGAAUUCACCAUGAGUUUUCAUUGUCAAGGAAACUGAAAUUUCUUCCUCUUUAUGCAGCUAGCUACCUUGUCUUUCUCAAACUAGUCAUCUUGUUUAAGCUCUUUCGAAAUAAAUGGAAGUAUGAUUUGUAUCAUGAAUAUCAAUUAGGGGACUUGGAUUGCUAAGGUACAAGCUGGGUGUUGAGCUUGGUUUGCUUUUGCUUGGUUCUCUUAGCUGCUGAUUUUGAAGGGUUGAGGGAAACAUUCCAGACAGUUAGAGUGGUAGUUGAGUUUGGAAGACAGGUUCUGCUAUUUAGAAUUUUUUGGAUAUAUGGGUACAGAAUGACACUGUGGGCAGAGCAUUUAGGACUUGUUGAAGAAUGUUUCAAUCAGCCGGAGUCUUGAAUGUGUUCAAAGGGUAAGGUCACUGGAUGAGCAGAAAUGGAGUCAAUACUAGAGCUUCUGCAGGGUCCUUGUCCAUCAUGUGUAGGAUCAAUGGCUUAAGAGAUCAAAAGACUGCUUAUCAUCUUUGCCUACAAGAGAGCUUCUGCAAGAACAAAUGAAGGUGCAUUAAAAGAAAGCAGGAGUAAUCUAUGUAGUUUAGGUCUUCCUAGCUAGAACAUUUUACAAGUACAGACUCAAUCUAUGUUGUCCCUAGCUUGAAUUAUAAGGAUUGUAGUACUGUUUCUAUGGUCAUAUAUUGAGCAUUAUUUCAGGAAAA
Molecule: long non-coding RNA, 748 nt
Organism: Rosa chinensis
Lineage: Eukaryota; Viridiplantae; Streptophyta; Magnoliopsida; Rosales; Rosaceae
Exons: 3
Source: RefSeq, a predicted model, not a curated record